GACGAACGCUGGCGGCGUGCCUAAUACAUGCAAGUUGAGCGCUGAAGGUUGGUACUUGUACCAACUGGAUGAGCAGCGAACGGGUGAGUAACGCGUGGGGAAUCUGCCUUUGAGCGGGGGACAACAUUUGGAAACGAAUGCUAAUACCGCAUAAAAACUUUAAACACAAGUUUUAAGUUUGAAAGAUGCAAUUGCAUCACUCAAAGAUGAUCCCGCGUUGUAUUAGCUAGUUGGUGAGGUAAAGGCUCACCAAGGCGAUGAUACAUAGCCGACCUGAGAGGGUGAUCGGCCACAUUGGGACUGAGACACGGCCCAAACUCCUACGGGAGGCAGCAGUAGGGAAUCUUCGGCAAUGGACGAAAGUCUGACCGAGCAACGCCGCGGGAGUGAAGAAGGGUUUCGGAUCGUAAAACUCUGUUGGUAGGGAAGAACGUUGGUGAGAGUGGAAAGCUCAUCAAGUGACGGUAACUACCCAGAAAGGGACGGCUAACUACGUG
RNAcentral lists this ribosomal RNA (497 nucleotides) under uncultured bacterium. RNAcentral describes it as "partial 16S ribosomal RNA". It matches the Rfam family "Bacterial small subunit ribosomal RNA", at positions 28 to 507 of the family's 1533-position model. The record is from RNAcentral.